Molecule: ribosomal RNA, 2374 nt
Filed under: Enterobacter cloacae
Lineage: Bacteria; Pseudomonadati; Pseudomonadota; Gammaproteobacteria; Enterobacterales; Enterobacteriaceae
Description: bacterial LSU rRNA
Rfam family: Bacterial large subunit ribosomal RNA
Source: RNAcentral
UUUAUGGGGUGACUGCGUACCUUUUGUAUAAUGGGUCAGCGACUUAUAUUCUGUAGCAAGGUUAACCGUAUAGGGGAGCCGAAGGGAAACCGAGUCUUAACUGGGCGUUAAGUUGCAGGGUAUAGACCCGAAACCCGGUGAUCUAGCCAUGGGCAGGUUGAAGGUUGGGUAACACUAACUGGAGGACCGAACCGACUAAUGUUGAAAAAUUAGCGGAUGACCUGUGGCUGGGGGUGAAAGGCCAAUCAAACCGGGAGAUAGCUGGUUCUCCCCGAAAGCUAUUUAGGUAGCGCCUCGUGAACUCAUCUUCGGGGGUAGAGCACUGUUUCGGCUAGGGGGCCAUCCCGGCUUACCAACCCGAUGCAAACUACGAAUACCGAAGAAUGUUAUCACGGGAGACACACGGCGGGUGCUAACGUCCGUCGUGAAGAGGGAAACAACCCAGACCGCCAGCUAAGGUCCCAAAGUCAUGGUUAAGUGGGAAACGAUGUGGGAAGGCACAGACAGCCAGGAUGUUGGCUUAGAAGCAGCCAUCAUUUAAAGAAAGCGUAAUAGCUCACUGGUCGAGUCGGCCUGCGCGGAAGAUGUAACGGGGCUAAACCAUGCACCGAAGCUGCGGCAGCGACACUAUGUGUUGUUGGGUAGGGGAGCGUUCUGUAAGCCGUUGAAGGUGGCCUGUGAGGGUUGCUGGAGGUAUCAGAAGUGCGAAUGCUGACAUAAGUAACGAUAAAGCGGGUGAAAAGCCCGCUCGCCGGAAGACCAAGGGUUCCUGUCCAACGUUAAUCGGGGCAGGGUGAGUCGACCCCUAAGGCGAGGCCGAAAGGCGUAGUCGAUGGGAAACAGGUUAAUAUUCCUGUACUUGGUGUUACUGCGAAGGGGGGACGGAGAAGGCUAUGUCAGCCGGGCGACGGUUGUCCCGGUUUAAGCAUGUAGGCGGAGGUUCCAGGUAAAUCCGGUACCUUUUAACGCUGAGGUGUGACGACGAGGCACUACGGUGCUGAAGUGAUAAAUGCCCUGCUUCCAGGAAAAGCCUCUAAGCAUCAGGUAACACGAAAUCGUACCCCAAACCGACACAGGUGGUCAGGUAGAGAAUACCAAGGCGCUUGAGAGAACUCGGGUGAAGGAACUAGGCAAAAUGGUGCCGUAACUUCGGGAGAAGGCACGCUGAUAUGUAGGUGAAGUCCCUGCGGACGGAGCUGAAAUCAGUCGAAGAUACCAGCUGGCUGCAACUGUUUAUUAAAAACACAGCACUGUGCAAACACGAAAGUGGACGUAUACGGUGUGACGCCUGCCCGGUGCCGGAAGGUUAAUUGAUGGGGUUAGCGGCAACGCGAAGCUCUUGAUCGAAGCCCCGGUAAACGGCGGCCGUAACUAUAACGGUCCUAAGGUAGCGAAAUUCCUUGUCGGGUAAGUUCCGACCUGCACGAAUGGCGUAAUGAUGGCCAGGCUGUCUCCACCCGAGACUCAGUGAAAUUGAACUCGCUGUGAAGAUGCAGUGUACCCGCGGCAAGACGGAAAGACCCCGUGAACCUUUACUAUAGCUUGACACUGAACACUGGUCCUUGAUGUGUAGGAUAGGUGGGAGGCUUUGAAGCGUGGACGCCAGUCUGCGUGGAGCCAACCUUGAAAUACCACCCUUUAAUGGCUGGUGUUCUAACGUAGACCCGUAAUCCGGGUUGCGGACAGUGUCUGGUGGGUAGUUUGACUGGGGCGGUCUCCUCCCAAAGAGUAACGGAGGAGCACGAAGGUUGGCUAAUCCUGGUCGGACAUCAGGAGGUUAGUGCAAUGGCAUAAGCCAGCUUGACUGCGAGCGUGACGGCGCGAGCAGGUGCGAAAGCAGGUCAUAGUGAUCCGGUGGUUCUGAAUGGAAGGGCCAUCGCUCAACGGAUAAAAGGUACUCCGGGGAUAACAGGCUGAUACCGCCCAAGAGUUCAUAUCGACGGCGGUGUUUGGCACCUCGAUGUCGGCUCAUCACAUCCUGGGGCUGAAGUAGGUCCCAAGGGUAUGGCUGUUCGCCAUUUAAAGUGGUACGCGAGCUGGGUUUAGAACGUCGUGAGACAGUUCGGUCCCUAUCUGCCGUGGGCGCUGGAGAAUUGAGGGGGGCUGCUCCUAGUACGAGAGGACCGGAGUGGACGCAUCACUGGUGUUCGGGUUGUCAUGCCAAUGGCACUGCCCGGUAGCUAAAUGCGGAAGAGAUAAGUGCUGAAAGCAUCUAAGCACGAAACUUGCCCCGAGAUGAGUUCUCCCUGAGACUAUAAGUCUCCUGAAGGAACGUUGAAGACGACGACGUUGAUAGGUCGGGUGUGUAAGCGCAGCGAUGCGUUGAGCUAACCGAUACUAAUGAACCGUGAGGCUUAACCUUACAACGCCGAAG